Long non-coding RNA from Vitis vinifera (wine grape), 616 nucleotides. RefSeq lists it as uncharacterized. The transcript has 2 exons. NCBI's taxonomy places the organism in Eukaryota, Viridiplantae, Streptophyta, Magnoliopsida, Vitales, Vitaceae. The record is from RefSeq and is a predicted model, not a curated record.
UUGAUACAAAAUUCAUUGAAUCAACCGAUUUAACAGUAAGGCGAUUAAAACGUUUGAGCCGCCCACUUUUGGAAGACAGAAAAAAAAAUUAUUAUAUAAGUUUCAGCAAUGGGGCUGGGAUCGGAUGCCCCUCUGCUGGUCUCGGCGGUAUCCGGUACUUUAUCUUUCUCUAUUUUUUUUUUCCUAUAUAAUUUGGUUUUAGAAAGGGAGUUGUUGCUUCCUGCUUUGUGUUAUUGUUUGAUCAUUUACUUUUGCGUAUUGGGUCUUCAUCUUGCUUGUUAUUGAGCACGUCCUUGGGAUCGAGGUGACAGGUUCUUUCCCUCGUAGAUUUUUGGGUGAUUCUGCUGGAGAUGGAGACGGUUCACUCGGAGUUGGAAUGGAGGAACAAAAGGACUCGGACCUAGGUUCGUUUGCACACCAACCACGGUUUCGUUUUGGGUUACAAUUUACAAAAUAUCUUUCUCUUUCAAGUGGGAAUUGCCAGUGGUAAAAGAAAAUGAGUAUUGCUUUCUAAUGGGUACAAUGCAAGGCCUUUUUAUCUUCUAUCACUCGCGUAUAUGGUUGUUUCUGUCACUUGAGAAGAUGCAAUGGAAAAUUGACUAGUAUGAACUGAUAA